Molecule: ribosomal RNA, 570 nt
Filed under: uncultured bacterium
Lineage: Bacteria
Description: bacterial SSU rRNA
Rfam family: Bacterial small subunit ribosomal RNA
Source: RNAcentral
CCUACGGGAGGCAGCAGUGGGGAAUAUUGCGCAAUGGGCGAAAGCCUGACGCAGCGACGCCGCGUGAGGGAUGAAGGCCUUCGGGUCGUAAACCUCUUUCAGCAGGGAAGAAGCGUAAGUGACGGUACCUGCAGAAGAAGCACCGGCUAACUACGUGCCAGCAGCCGCGGUAAUACGUAGGGUGCAAGCGUUGUCCGGAAUUAUUGGGCGUAAAGAGCUCGUAGGCGGUCUGUCGCGUCUGCUGUGAAAACCUAGGGCUUAACUCUGGGCGUGCAGUGGGUACGGGCAGACUAGAGUGCGGUAGGGGAGACUGGAAUUCCCGGUGUAGCGGUGAAAUGCGCAGAUAUCAGGAGGAACACCGGUGGCGAAGGCGGGUCUCUGGGCCGUAACUGACGCUGAGGAGCGAAAGCAUGGGGAGCGAACAGGAUUAGAUACCCUGGUAGUCCAUGCCGUAAACGUUGGGCGCUAGGUGUGGGGUCCAUUCCACGGAUUCUGCGCCGCAGCUAACGCAUUAAGCGCCCCGCCUGGGGAGUACGGCCGCAAGGCUAAAACGUCAAAAUGAAUUGACGG